AGUUGAAGAAAACUUAAAACUGCUCAUAUAAUUUUUGAAUCGCAUCUCCACCGAGGAUAAUACAAGUUUCAAACGAUUUUUCGUAAAGAUGAUUGGAUAUGAAUUUGACGCGAAAGGACCUACCAACAACUGUGAAACACCCUUCAAAUGAAUGAAUUCAAAAUCGAACAAUGAUUUUUUAAAAUCAGUUUGACAAAAAAGUUGUUAUAGCAAUUUUAUAAGAUGAAGAGAAAAUUCGUUGUAAAAUCUAUUGUAAUCUUUGCACAAUACACGUGCACGUUGUUAGAAAAAAAAGGCGACGGACUUAAGUAAUAACAGACAUGUACGCUUAGUAUUAAGUAAAGCCUGUUGGAAGGUCCAAGCAAAUGCUGCGUUAGUGGUCUUUCUCGGACGUUGUACUGCUUUUAACUGAAUUUGUACGCAUUACGUAACUGCCCUUAGACAUGCUGUUGAAUAAUCUAGGUGUUGUUUGCUGGGCAUGUUCUGAUUGUCGAAAGCACGGUGUGGCUAACUCCCUUGGCUGCAGUACUACGUAAGUAGACUGUGGUGCGCAUAUGCACGAUUCGGAAGGCUUCAAUCAUACUUUUGAAGAUAUUGGAUAUGAAUUGGCGUUGUGUCACAUUGACCUCGGUUACUCCAAACUGGUAGAAGACUUUGCUUAUUAAAAAGUUCACUACGCUCUUUUACCCUGGAUCGACUGGCAUGGCGAAGUUCGGCGUCUGCUUUCCUUACACUUCCCGAAAUGUCGUAUUCAAUUUCAUACUCAACUUGCCAAGCCGAGCCAGUAAAACUGACGGAGCAAGUUCCCGUCUACGAGAGCCUUCGUCAUCAGACCGGUUGUCAAAGAAUUUGGCACCCACAACUUUAACACUGUGCCCUGUAACUCAUCUUCUUGGUGACCAAACCAUAUGUGCCUAAAAAGCAGAUCUUUCUCAACCUCCAAAUUGGUCCUUGCCGUUCUCCUUUUUCGACAUUUGCGUGAGGCCGCGUUCGCGAAACCUCACAUAACAAGGGGCGGAAUUUUAGGGCUUACGUGGCACUGGGAUUCCCUUAAUCGCUAUAACUCGGCCGGUGUUCAUACGAAGCAGGCCCCCAUCAAUAUUAAAGCCGAGGUGCUGCAAAGCAUUAAAAUAGAUUUUGAAUUUGUGCAGUCCGAUGGAGAAAUUUGCUUCCCUUAAGUAGGUUAAAUUAGGUCGGAAAUCUGAGGAAAUAACAAGCAGGUCGUCCUGAUUAGCACCUAAGUAACACCUACCAUAAAAAUAAGCUCCUCGAAAUCCAAAACAGCUGGGCCAGCUUCUCUUAACAUCCUGUUCCUAGCAGAAUCACGCUCGCUUCUUUGUUUAAGACCUCUUUAGAUAUGCGUACCCAUGAGUGAGAUUGUAUACCCUUAUAUUCAUUUUUUAUGGGUUCAGUGUAUAAUAAGAAGAAACUUGAAAGCUAUUAA
Molecule: long non-coding RNA, 1444 nt
Organism: Drosophila virilis
Lineage: Eukaryota; Metazoa; Arthropoda; Insecta; Diptera; Drosophilidae
Source: RefSeq, a predicted model, not a curated record